GUUUUCUUAGUAUAUUAAGUAUAUGUGACUUCCAAUUACAAGGACUAGAAACUCCUAGAGAAAACA
RNAcentral lists this transfer RNA (66 nucleotides) under Coenobita rugosus. RNAcentral's name for it is "tRNA-Gly". The record is from RNAcentral. Lineage: Eukaryota; Metazoa; Arthropoda; Malacostraca; Decapoda; Coenobitidae.